This 466-nucleotide ribosomal RNA is filed under the name uncultured bacterium. RNAcentral describes it as "partial 16S ribosomal RNA". It matches the Rfam family "Bacterial small subunit ribosomal RNA", at positions 29 to 506 of the family's 1533-position model. The record is from RNAcentral.
ACGAACGCUGGCGGCGUGCUUAACACAUGCAAGUCGAACGGAAAGGCCCUGCUUUUGUGGGGUGCUCGAGUGGCGAACGGGUGAGUAACACGUGAGUAACCUGCCCUUGACUUUGGGAUAACUUCAGGAAACUGGGGCUAAUACCGGAUAGGAGCUCCUGCUGCAUGGUGGGGGUUGGAAAGUUUCGGCGGUUGGGGAUGGACUCGCGGCUUAUCAGCUUGUUGGUGGGGUAGUGGCUUACCAAGGCUUUGACGGGUAGCCGGCCUGAGAGGGUGAUCGGCCACAUUGGGACUGAGAUACGGCCCAGACUCCUACGGGAGGCAGCAGUGGGGAAUAUUGCACAAUGGGCGGAAGCCUGAUGCAGCAACGCCGCGUGCGGGAUGACGGCCUUCGGGUUGUAAACCGCUUUCGCCUGUGACGAAGCGUGAGUGACGGUAAUGGGUAAAGAAGCACCGGCUAACUACGU